UCCGGCUUGACGCCGGCAGUCCCCCGACAGCCAUGCAGCAUCUGUGCUGGCUCUCGACUUUACGAGUGGUUCCCCUUUCGGGGUUCUACUUCCAGCAUGUCAAGCCUAGGUGAGGUUCUUCGCGUUGCAUCGAAUUAAACCACACGCUCCGCUGCUUGUGCGGGCCCCCGUCAAUUCCUUUGAGCUUUAGCCUUGCGGCCGUACUCCCCAGGCGGGGUGCUUAAUGCGUUAGCUUCGGCACGGAAGGAGUCGACACCUCCCACACCUAGCACCCAUCGUUUACGGCGUGGACUAC
RNAcentral lists this unclassified non-coding RNA (295 nucleotides) under uncultured bacterium. Its description in RNAcentral is "contains 16S-23S intergenic spacer region". The record is from RNAcentral.